CAUGUAGGCGGAUUGUUAAGUCUGGUGUGAAAGCCCGGGGCUCAACCCCGGAAGUGCAUUGGAUACUGGCAAUCUUGAGUAUGGGAGAGGAAAGUGGAAUUCCGAGUGUAGCGGUGAAAUGCGUAGAUAUCCGGAAGAACACCAGUGGCGAAGGCGGCUUCCUGGACCAAUACUGACGCUGAGGUGCGAAAGCGUGGGGAGCAAACA
RNAcentral lists this ribosomal RNA (207 nucleotides) under uncultured bacterium. RNAcentral describes it as "partial 16S ribosomal RNA". It matches the Rfam family "Bacterial small subunit ribosomal RNA", at positions 568 to 774 of the family's 1533-position model. The record is from RNAcentral.